RNAcentral lists this long non-coding RNA (742 nucleotides) under Triticum aestivum (bread wheat). Its description in RNAcentral is "long non-coding RNA (TAES_LNC017824)". The record is from RNAcentral. Lineage: Eukaryota; Viridiplantae; Streptophyta; Magnoliopsida; Poales; Poaceae.
UCUGCUCUGCUCUCUGCUCAAGCCCGCAGCUCGUCGCCGCCGUCCAGCAAGCCGCCCCAGCCAUGGUUUCGUGUAGUGAUUCCGGAUCCAGCUCCUGCUUGUCAGGUGGCGACUUGGUCACCAGUCCGGUGAGAUCCCCAGGCCCUCCCGCAAAGCGGCGUCAGCUGGAGGGGACGGGGUCAUGAAUCGAUCCAAUGCAAGCGUCCUCGGAGUCCAGCCUCGGAGCAAGAGCUGAUCCGGGCGGUCCUGGCCAAGAUGGGCCGCCUGGCUCCGUCUACUGUGGUGGCUGGUGCUGAGAGAGUUCCCUCUUUGAUCUCCUAGAGUUUGGGCAUUGUUGUUUGAUGGAAGGCUUUACCCUGUUCAUCGUCUGUUUUGCCAGCGCCCCGUCUUUGCUCAGCUGUGGAUGGUUGAGCAUCUUGGAACCUGAAGAGUAGCGACCUGAAGAAGGGUCAAACUUGCCCUUGCCUAUGGCAGUUUACUAUGUUGCUGUUUUCUGUCUAGUGUUGGAUGCGUUAUGAGUAUGUUGUUGGUUACCAUGGUUCUCUAUCUACUAUCUGAACUCAGAAAUGAUUUGGCUUCAUUUGGGGGAUAGGAUUAAUCUAUGUCAGUACCUGAGAUGUUUCUUGAUAAACUAUUUCUUUAAGGAAUGUUUCAUGAAAAACUUGUUGAUGGGAAUAUGAUUUCUUUCCUUGCGUGUUUGCAUUGCGAGCCCAGGUGGUGAUAGGUGAAUCCUUGGUUUUUG